Molecule: non-coding RNA, 92 nt
Organism: Gautieria morchelliformis
Lineage: Eukaryota; Fungi; Basidiomycota; Agaricomycetes; Gomphales; Gomphaceae
Source: the annotation of a GenBank genome assembly
GGCUGCUUGGCUAAGGGGUACGGCGUCGCACUUGUACAAGCGCGCUUGACAGCUGCAUGCGAAGAUCAGGAGUUCAAAUCUCCUAGUAGCCU